Molecule: ribosomal RNA, 253 nt
Filed under: uncultured prokaryote
Description: partial 16S ribosomal RNA
Rfam family: Bacterial small subunit ribosomal RNA
Source: RNAcentral
UACGUAGGGAGCAAGCGUUGUCCGGAUUUACUGGGUGUAAAGGGUGCGUAGGCGGCACAGCAAGUCAGAAGUGAAAUCCAUGGGCUUAACCCAUGAACUGCUUUUGAAACUGUUGUGCUUGAGUGAUGUAGAGGUAGGCGGAAUUCCCGGUGUAGCGGUGGAAUGCGUAGAGAUCGGGAGGAACACCAGUGGCGAAGGCGGCCUACUGGGCAUUAACUGACGCUGAGGCACGAAAGUAUGGGUAGCAAACAGG